GAUGAACGCUGGCGGCGUGCCUAAUACAUGCAAGUCGAGCGAACAGACGAGGAGCUUGCUCCUCUGACGUUAGCGGCGGACGGGUGAGUAACACGUGGAUAACCUACCUAUAAGACUGGGAUAACUUCGGGAAACCGGAGCUAAUACCGGAUAAUAUAUUGAACCGCAUGGUUCAAUAGUGAAAGACGGUUUUGCUGUCACUUAUAGACUGAUCCGCGCCGCAUUAGCUAGUUGGUAAGGUAACGGCUUACCAAGGCAACGAUGCGUAGCCGACCUGAGAGGGUGAUCGGCCACACUGGAACUGAGACACGGUCCAGACUCCUACGGGAGGCAGCAGUAGGGAAUCUUCCGCAAUGGGCGAAAGCCUGACGGAGCAACGCCGCGUGAGUGAUGAAGGUCUUCGGAUCGUAAAACUCUGUUAUUAGGGAAGAACAAAUGUGUAAGUAACUAUGCACGUCUUGACGGUACCUAAUCAGAAAGCCACGGCUAACUACGUG
Molecule: ribosomal RNA, 497 nt
Filed under: uncultured bacterium
Lineage: Bacteria
Description: partial 16S ribosomal RNA
Rfam family: Bacterial small subunit ribosomal RNA
Source: RNAcentral